Molecule: ribosomal RNA, 453 nt
Filed under: Triticum aestivum (bread wheat)
Lineage: Eukaryota; Viridiplantae; Streptophyta; Magnoliopsida; Poales; Poaceae
Description: partial small subunit ribosomal RNA
Source: RNAcentral
AUGGCGGCCAAGCUGACCAAGGAGCAGUCGGACGAGUGCAAGGAGGUGUUCGACCUGUUCGACGGCGACGAGGACGGCCGCAUCGCCGCCGGCGAGCUGGUCACGGCGCUCCGCUCGCUGGGCCAGAACGUGGACGAGGACGAGGCGCGGGGCUUCCUCGAGGACGCGGGCGCGGGCGGCGCCGGCGCCGUCGACCUCCCCACGUUCCUGGCCGUCGCGGCGCGCAAGGCUAACGCCGGCGUGUCGGCCAAGGGCCUGGCCCAGUGCCUGGACGCGUUCGACGACGACGGGAGCGGGGUCAUCCCCGCGGAGCAGCUGCGGCAGGUGAUGCUCACCCACGGCGACCGGCUCACGGAGGAGGAGGCCGACGAGCUGGUCCGCAAGGCCGACCCCCGCGGCGAGGGCCGCGUCCAGUGCAAGGAGCUCGUCAAGGUGCUCAUGAACAACAAGUGA